This 590-nucleotide long non-coding RNA is filed under the name Nicotiana benthamiana. RNAcentral's name for it is "long non-coding RNA (NBEN_LNC014676)". Lineage: Eukaryota; Viridiplantae; Streptophyta; Magnoliopsida; Solanales; Solanaceae. The record is from RNAcentral.
GAGAAAGAAUAGGCACAUUAUUGAGACUGCUCGCACACUUCUCAUUGAAUCUCAUGUUCCGCUGCGUUUUUGGGGCGAUGCAGUUCUCACAUCUUGUUAGUUGGUUAAUCGGAUGCCUUCAUCUCCCAUCCAGAAUUAGAUUUCGUAUGAGGUAUUGUUUUCCCAGUCACCCUUAUACUCUGUUCCCCCUCGUGUUUUUGGGAGGACUUGUUUCGUUCAUAACUUAGCUCCUGGGAAAGCUAAGUUAGCUCCUCGUACUCUCAAGUGUGUCUUCCUUGGUUAUUCUCGUGCUCAGAAGGGCUAUCGUUGUUAUUCACCUGAUCUUCGUAGGUACCUUAUAUCAGCCGAUGUCACAUUUUUUGAGUCAAAACCUUUCUUUACCUCUUCUGACCAUUCUGACCAUCUUGAUAUAUCUGAGGUUUUACCUAUAUCGGCCUUUAGGGAGUCUACUAUAUCUCCUAAACCUUUCUUUACCUCUUCUGACCAUCUUGAUAUAUCUGAGGUUUUACCUAUACCGACCUUUAGGGAGUCUAUUAUAUCUCCUCCUUCACCUUCCGCUACAGAAGUCUUACCCAAUCCAAUCGUUGGAG